AGAGUUUGAUCCUGGCUCAGAUUGAACGCUGGCGGCAGGCCUAACACAUGCAAGUCGAGCGGCAGCACGGGUACUUGUACCUGGUGGCGAGCGGCGGACGGGUGAGUAAUGCCUAGGAAUCUGCCUGGUAGUGGGGGAUAACGCUCGGAAACGGACGCUAAUACCGCAUACGUCCUACGGGAGAAAGCAGGGGGACCUUCGGGCCUUGCGCUAUCAGAUGAGCCUAGGUCGGAUUAGCUAGUUGGUGAGUGUAAUGGCUCACCAAGGCGACGAUCCGUAACUGGUCUGAGAGGAUGAUCAGUCACACUGGAACUGAGACACGGUCCAGACUCCUACGGGAGGCAGCAGUGGGGAAUAUUGGACAAUGGGCGAAAGCCUGAUCCAGCCAUGCCGCGUGUGUGAAGAAGGUCUUCGGAUUGUAAAGCACUUUAAGUUGGGAGGAAGGGCAGUUACCUAAUACGUGAUUGUAUUUGACGUUACCGACAGAAUAAGCACCGGCUAACUCUGUGCCAGCAGCCGCGGUAAUACAGAGGGUGCAAGCGUUAAUCGGAAUUACUGGGCGUAAAGCGCGCGUAGGUGGUUUGUUAAGUUGAAUGUGAAAUCCCCCGGGCUCAACCUGGGAACUGCAUCCAAAACUGGCAAGCUAGAGUAUGGUAGAGGGUGGUGGAAUUUCCUGUGUAGCGGUGAAAUGCGUAGAUAUAGGAAGGAACACCAGUGGCGAAGGCGACACCUGGACUGAUACUGACACUGAGGUGCGAAAGCGUGGGGAGCAAACAGGAUUAGAUACCCUGGUAGUCCACAGCACGUAAACGAUGUCAACUAGCAAGUUGGGAGCCAUUGAGCUCUUAGUGGCGCAGCUAACAGCAUUAAGUUGACACAGCCUGGGGAGUACAGGCACAGCAAGGUUAAAAACUCAAAUGAAUUGACGGGGGCCACGCACAAGCGGUGGAGCAAUGUGGUUUAAUUCGAAGCAACGCGAAGAACACUUACCAGGCCUUGACAUCCAAUGAACUUUCCAGAGAUGGAUGGGUGCACUUCGGGAACAUUGAGACAGGUGCUGCAUGGCUGUCGUCAGCUCGUGUCGUGAGAUGUUGGGUUAAGUCCCGUAACGAGCGCAACCCUUGUCCUUAGUUACCAGCACGUUAUGGUGGGCACUCUAAGGAGACUGCCGGUGACAACCGGAGGAAGGUGGGGAUGACGUCAAGUCAUCAUUGGCCCUACGGCCUUGGGCAUACACACCGUGCUCAAUGGUCGGUACAGAGGGUUGCCAAGCCGCGAGGUGGAGCUAAUCUCACAAAACCGAUCGUAGUCCGGAUCGCAGUCUGCAACUCGACUGCGUGAAGUCGGAAUCGCUAGUAAUCGCGAAUCAGAAUGUCGCGGUGAAUACGUUCCCGGGCCUUGUACACACCGCCCGUCACACCAUGGGAGUGGGUUGCACCAGAAGUAGCUAGUCUAACCUUCGGGGGGACGGUUACCACGGUGUGAUUCAUGACUGGGGUGAAGUCGUAACAAGGUAGCCGUAGGGGAACCUGCGGCUGGAUCACCUCCUU
This 1550-nucleotide ribosomal RNA is filed under the name Pseudomonas syringae. RNAcentral describes it as "bacterial SSU rRNA". It matches the Rfam family "Bacterial small subunit ribosomal RNA". Lineage: Bacteria; Pseudomonadati; Pseudomonadota; Gammaproteobacteria; Pseudomonadales; Pseudomonadaceae. The record is from RNAcentral.